AGAAAAGACAGUGCAGCUUAGUAAGGCUGGCACAGAGAAAACGCACCUGUAUGGCUGGCAUGGGGAUGGCACGAGUCGGGGAGGCAGAGGAGCCGUUGCCGAUGGAGGCAGAGCUGACAGACAGAAAGCAAGGCUGCGGGGAGCGCGCCGCUCAGCACGCCUCUGCCCGUGUGGGUUUGUGCUAGUGCCGUGGCAAGAAACCAACCAUGCUUGCAGGCUUGCCUGCCUUGAAGAGUACUCGGAACGCAUCAAACUAUCUUGUGGGUUUUCUUUGGGUAAAAAACCUUUUAGCCUGUAUCAGCAAAGUGUCACGCUAAAGCAGAAAGCACAUGUCAUGGAAAAGUAUGACAAGAAACACAAAACUGAAACAUCAAAUCCAUGGAAAGGUGAGGUGUCUGUGGGUUUUGAGGGAUGCUCUCCAACCCUAAAGUUAUGAA
Molecule: long non-coding RNA, 437 nt
Filed under: Apteryx rowi (Okarito brown kiwi)
Lineage: Eukaryota; Metazoa; Chordata; Aves; Apterygiformes; Apterygidae
Description: lncRNA (ENSARWG00000016000.1)
Source: RNAcentral